UGGGGGGCAAACAAUGGGUAUCAGAAACCUGUUUUCCUGCUGGAACUCUUUCCAAGCCUAGCAUGAAGGACCUUGAGUACAUAGAAGAGCUGAAGCAAAUCAUUGAGAAGGAAGAGAUACCUGCUCCUGCUCCUAUAGAGCAGCAACCAGAGCCGGAUGAAUCCUGCUUCAAACACAGUAGAAGAUGACGUAUUCUCAUGGAGAAAGGAAAUAACAGAAGAAUUCUUCCACUACAGGCAUCUUACGCAGGCACAGUUGUGGGAUAAGUAUUCUGCGUCUGAACAUUGGGCUAAGAUUGAGAAGUAAUUCCACACAGUGUGCAGGUUCCAAAGAACAAGGAAGAACUUGAAGCUCUGCAAGCUAGGCUCAAAAUGCGUUUUCCAGUGGCAGCAUAUAACAAAGCACGGAGGGAAUUGAAUCACAACAGGAUCCUUUUUAAUAACAUGCUUGAAAAGAUGUUCCCAUUAUCGGACAAUGUUUGAAAAGUACACGCUACUGGUUAGUUCUUUAUUCAUUUUAAAUCUUAAGAAUUAAAAUGCAGUUGGUCUGUUCUUUUGGCCAAUUUAGUGGAAACAUCUUUAGCACUAAGCUUGUACACCCAAAUGGAAGGACAUGAGGACAUUUCUGUGUUUUAGAAUUUUUAUACAUAUAAUAAGUGGUUCCGAUUAUCAGUAUUUAUUGACGCUACCGAACUUGCUAUCAAAGUUCAGCUGUAUCUAUGGACAGUAGGAAGAAAAAGUAGUUUUGAUGAUUUAUAGGGGGUCUGAUGAUUUAUGGACUGACUCGGUUGGGUAUUGGAUGGAUCAUAUCUAUGAUUUUCAUUUUUAUCAAUCCCAUUUGUUUCGAGUGUUAUGGUUUUGCUAAUUCUGCUCUCCCAACCGUAUUUGCAAUGUCUUUGGUGAUACACCUUGUGUUCUUUGCUCGGGAGUACUUAAUCCCAGUUUAGGAACUUUAUAGUUAGCUAGAGCAUGAUUGGAUGUUAUCCUCAAACCUUGGCCAUAAUAAACUGUUCCCAGCGCUUGAUUUCUAAGAGAAAAUGUCAUCUCACCUAUUGGCACCAUCAUAGAGGAGGCAAGAUGAAGGUUAACCAGUUUCCAAUCUUACAGGGAAACUUGCA
This is a non-coding RNA of Durio zibethinus, 1117 nucleotides long. NCBI's taxonomy places the organism in Eukaryota, Viridiplantae, Streptophyta, Magnoliopsida, Malvales, Malvaceae. The record is from RefSeq and is a predicted model, not a curated record.